RNAcentral lists this ribosomal RNA (240 nucleotides) under uncultured bacterium. Its description in RNAcentral is "partial 16S ribosomal RNA". It matches the Rfam family "Bacterial small subunit ribosomal RNA", at positions 532 to 772 of the family's 1533-position model. The record is from RNAcentral.
AUGCGAGCGUUAUCCGGAUUUAUUGGGUUUAAAGGGUGCGUAGGCGGACGCUUAAGUCAGCGGUAAAAUUGCGGGGCUCAACCUCGUCGAGCCGUUGAAACUGGGUGCCUUGAGUGGGCGAGAAGUACGCGGAAUGCGUGGUGUAGCGGUGAAAUGCAUAGAUAUCACGCAGAACUCCGAUUGCGAAGGCAGCGUACCGGCGCCCAACUGACGCUGAAGCACGAAGGCGUGGGUAUCGAA